ACGGGAGGCAGCAGUGGGGAAUAUUGGGCAAUGGGCGAAAGCCUGACCCAGCAACGCCGCGUGAGUGAAGAAGGUUUUCGGAUUGUAAAGCUCUAUCCUCGGGGACGAAGGAAGUGACGGUACCCGAGAAGGAAGCCCCGGCUAACUACGUGCCAGCAGCCGCGGUAAUACGUAGGGGGCAAGCGUUAUCCGGAUUUACUGGGUGUAAAGGGAGCGUAGACGGCGAUGCAAGUCUGAAGUGAAAGCCCGGGGCUCAACCCCGGGACUGCUUUGGAAACUGUGUUGCUAGAGUGCAGGAGGGGUAAGCGGAAUUCCUAGUGUAGCGGUGAAAUGCGUAGAUAUUAGGAGGAACACCGGUGGCGAAGGCGGCUUACUGGACUGUAACUGACGUUGAGGCUCGAAAGCGUGGGGAGCAAACAGGAUUAGAUACCCUGGUA
RNAcentral lists this ribosomal RNA (437 nucleotides) under uncultured Clostridium sp. Its description in RNAcentral is "partial 16S ribosomal RNA". It matches the Rfam family "Bacterial small subunit ribosomal RNA", at positions 341 to 792 of the family's 1533-position model. The record is from RNAcentral. Lineage: Bacteria; Bacillati; Bacillota; Clostridia; Eubacteriales; Clostridiaceae.